AAGCAGGAGGUGUCAGAAAACUUACCAUAUGGAUAGCUGGCUUGUGGCGGCCAAGCGUUCAGAGCAACGUUGCUUUUUGAUCCUUCG
Molecule: microRNA precursor, 87 nt
Filed under: Sorex araneus (European shrew)
Lineage: Eukaryota; Metazoa; Chordata; Mammalia; Eulipotyphla; Soricidae
Description: miRNA (ENSSARG00000020145.1)
Rfam family: Eukaryotic large subunit ribosomal RNA
Source: RNAcentral